RNAcentral lists this ribosomal RNA (497 nucleotides) under uncultured bacterium. RNAcentral's name for it is "partial 16S ribosomal RNA". It matches the Rfam family "Bacterial small subunit ribosomal RNA", at positions 28 to 507 of the family's 1533-position model. The record is from RNAcentral.
GAUGAACGCUGGCGGCGUGCCUAACACAUGCAAGUCGAGCGAACAGACUAGGAGCGUUCUCUUGUGACGUUAGCUGUGGACGGUUGAGUAAGACGUGGAUAUCAUACGUAUGUGACUUGGCUCACUUCGGGAGACCAGAGCUAAUACUGGCUAAUAUUACCAACUGCAUGGAUCAGUAGGCAUAGACGGGUUUGCUGUCACUUAUAGAUGUAUGCGGGCCGCAUGAGCUAGUUGGUAAGGUAACGGCUUACCAAGGCGACGAUGCGUAGCCGACAUGAGAGGGUGAUCGGCCACACUGGAACUGAGACACGGUCCAGACUCCUACGGGAGGCAGCAGUCGGGAAUCUUACGCAAUGGGCGAAAGCCUGACGGAGCAACACCGCGUGAGUGAUGAAGGUCUUCGGAUCGUAAAACUCUGUUGUUAGGGAAGAACAAAAGUGUAAGUAGCUAUGAACGUCUUGACGGUACCUAAUCAAAAAGCCCCGGCUAACUACGUG